This 460-nucleotide ribosomal RNA is filed under the name uncultured Treponema sp. RNAcentral describes it as "partial 16S ribosomal RNA". It matches the Rfam family "Bacterial small subunit ribosomal RNA", at positions 341 to 792 of the family's 1533-position model. The record is from RNAcentral. Lineage: Bacteria; Pseudomonadati; Spirochaetota; Spirochaetia; Treponematales; Treponemataceae.
ACGGAAGGCAGCAGCUAAGAAUAUUCCGCAAUGCACGAAAGUGUGACGGAGCGACGCCGCGUGGAUGAUGAAGGCCUGCAGGUUGUAAAAUCCUUUUAAGCAUGAAGAAUAAGUUAUAUCAGAGAUAGGUAUAAUGGUGCCGGUAGUGCUUGAAUAAGCAACGGCUAAUUACGUGCCAGCAGCCGCGGUAACACGUAAGUUGCGAGCGUUGUUCGGAAUUAUUGGGCGUAAAGGGCAUGUGGGCGGUUUUGCAAGCUUGGUGUGAAAGGCAGGAGCUUAAAUCCGGGAUUGCUUUGAGAACUGCAAGACUAGAGUGAAUGAGGUGCAAUCGGAAUUCCUGGUGUAGGGGUGAAAUCUGUAGAUAUAAGGAAGAAUACCAAUGGCGAAGGCAGGUUGCAAGCAGAUGACUGACGCUGAGGUGCGAAAGUGCGGGGAGCAAACAGGAUUAGAUACCCUGGUA